This 280-nucleotide long non-coding RNA is filed under the name Geospiza fortis (medium ground-finch). RNAcentral's name for it is "lncRNA (ENSGFOG00000006565.1)". Lineage: Eukaryota; Metazoa; Chordata; Aves; Passeriformes; Thraupidae. The record is from RNAcentral.
GACGCCCCCCAUCGCCAAUGGGGAGAUGGCCCCCAAGGAUGGGACACCGGGUCGUGGGGAGCAGGCCAGCGAGGGCUACUUCAGCCAGUCCCAGGAGGAGGAGGUGCCCCCCACCGAGGAGCUGUCGGCCAAAGCCCCCCAGCCUGUCUUCUACAACAAGCCCCCAGAGAUCGACAUCACGUGCUGGGACGCAGACCCUCUGCCCGAGGAAGAGGAGAGCUUUGGGGGGGCCCUGUGAGGCCGGGCCCCGCUGCCGGCACAGGCAGCCCGCCCCCCGCGG